GUGGGGAAUCUUAGACAAUGGGCGCAAGCCUGAUCUAGCCAUGCCGCGUGAGCGAUGAAGGCCUUAGGGUUGUAAAGCUCUUUCAGCUGGGAAGAUAAUGACGGUACCAGCAGAAGAAGCCCCGGCUAACUCCGUGCCAGCAGCCGCGGUAAUACGGAGGGGGCUAGCGUUGUUCGGAAUUACUGGGCGUAAAGCGCGCGUAGGCGGACUGAAAAGUUGGGGGUGAAAUCCCGGGGCUCAACCUCGGAACUGCCUUCAAAACUAUCAGUCUGGAGUUCGAGAGAGGUGAGUGGAAUUCCGAGUGUAGAGGUGAAAUUCGUAGAUAUUCGGAGGAACACCAGUGGCGAAGGCGGCUCACUGGCUCGAUACUGACGCUGAGGUGCGAAAGCGUGGGGAGCAAACAGGAUUAGAAACCCUUGUAGUCC
RNAcentral lists this ribosomal RNA (425 nucleotides) under uncultured bacterium. RNAcentral describes it as "partial 16S ribosomal RNA". It matches the Rfam family "Bacterial small subunit ribosomal RNA", at positions 354 to 796 of the family's 1533-position model. The record is from RNAcentral.